Molecule: non-coding RNA, 1293 nt
Organism: Struthio camelus australis
Lineage: Eukaryota; Metazoa; Chordata; Aves; Struthioniformes; Struthionidae
Source: RefSeq, a predicted model, not a curated record
CCAAGAAUAGAAUUUCAUCACCCAGAGAUGCUUGCUCUCAAAACAUUUGUGCAGGGCAGCCAAGGGGAGUUGAUGAAUACCAGUUUAUAGUUCAGGUAUCCAAAGCUUUCUGGAAAUGUAUGACCGUGAAUAUCUUAAUUUUCAACAUACUGAAGAACAGGAAGUGUGUGGAAUGGACCAUGGAUGGAUGAGGUGAAAUCAAGUAGUUACAUGUUAGACUGGCUGUCAAGACGAAAACAAAACAGCAACUUUAAUAAACCUUGGGAGGUGAUGGGUCCACUACAUCUAGAGAUGGUCAUCAAAGGGAGGUUUCACCAGGCAUGCCUGGAUUAACACAGUGAGGUCUUUGGGACACACCUCUUCUGCUUCUUGCACACAGAGAUGAAGUCUCUCCCUGGCUUCACUGUCAGCCCUUGUCAGUGCAGAGGCUCUCAUCAUAAGUGCUGACAUUAAACCCGUGUUACUAUAUUACUUCAAGUUACCCAUCUCCAUGUUUGAAAUAGAGUUAAUCUUUUCCUCCUCACCCUGCCAUGAUUUCCUGUGGGCCUUAUUUAUUGUACCACUAGCUAAAAUUACACACAUUAAUGAGCCUGGCCACUCAGCAAAAAAAGUUGUAUUUUCAUUCCAUAUUAAAAUAACUCAUGCAUCUAGUUCAUGUUAAAAUGCUGGUUAAGAUGAAUUCUCUCUAGUUUUAAUGGAUGUUAAAUGGUUGGAGUAAAACUAUGUUGCCUUGACUAACACCCAAAUUAUAACUAUAACUGCUUUAUGUUUAUGAGGAUUUUAUAUGAGUUGAUUACCUUAAGCUAAUUUUAGAUAGAAUCUUUUUUUUUUCUAGUUAAGCAGUGGCACUGUUUGUAGACUGAUGUUAAGUGAUGUAUUCAGUCAUGUUAUGCUGGUUUGAUGGAACUAGUUCAAUUGAAAACAUGCACUUUUCCACCUAUCAUGGAGGCAAAGCCCAAGGGAUUAGCCUGGGGCUCAUUGAAUUGGUUGAUGUAUUUGAAUUGUUGCUUGUAAUUUGAAGAAAAUAUUUGGGUGUGUUUGCAAUAGCUUUUACAAUGGUGCUAAGAAUCUUGAUUUAACUGGAAAGCCUUUAUAAGUAGGAUUGUAUUUACACUAUAGAGUUUGACAGAACAGUUACAGAGUAUAGUAGCAUCACUGUUGUGCUUGAUGAAUUGUUGUCUGCUAAGAUUCAGAAUAAACUAUUCUAAAACCUGCCUUAGUCAAAAGGCAUAACAGCUUUGUAUCUGUGGGUUUCAGUACAGAGGAAAGAUUUAUAAGAAACGUAUCUGUGAU